This 74-nucleotide transfer RNA is filed under the name Camelus bactrianus (Bactrian camel). It matches the Rfam family "tRNA". From Rfam's summary of the family: Transfer RNA (tRNA) molecules are approximately 80 nucleotides in length. Their secondary structure includes four short double-helical elements and three loops (D, anti-codon, and T loops). The record is from Rfam by way of RNAcentral. RNAcentral also lists the same sequence under 2 other names. Lineage: Eukaryota; Metazoa; Chordata; Mammalia; Artiodactyla; Camelidae.
GAGGGUAUAGCUCAAAAUGGUAGAGCACAUGCUUAGCAUGCACAAAGUCCUGGGUUUGAUCCCUGGUACCUCCU